Long non-coding RNA from Callorhinchus milii (elephant shark), 832 nucleotides. RefSeq lists it as uncharacterized. NCBI's taxonomy places the organism in Eukaryota, Metazoa, Chordata, Chondrichthyes, Chimaeriformes, Callorhinchidae. The record is from RefSeq and is a predicted model, not a curated record. The transcript is spliced from 3 exons.
GAAAUGGCAGGCCUUGGAGGGACUGGCUGGAGCUAUUCAACAGAGGAGAAGACUUUGCAGAGAUGACGAGAAAUCAGAAGGCUGCCGUGAAAGAGUUAAACUGAGACUGGGGACAAGUUUCUGGACACUAUUUCAGGCAAUGGGACCAGAUAAUUCCUUGAUGUGAAUUUCGAUUCUCAAGCACAAAGUGGAAGUGUGGGCAGGCUGUGUGACUGUGAAAGCCGGAUCCUAUCCUUUCCUGACAGUUGUAAACACACAGUUUCUCAUAGGCUUUUUAAAAAACAUUCCCCACUUUACUCCAGUGUUCUGAUAGUAAAGAUUCACAUUGAGUGCCAAUUGCUCUCUAGUAUCUUGUCUAACUGUUUCAUUCUUCAGGUGUGAGCUUGACCAUAAGUGUGCAGGUUAUUUCAAGCAUGGACGGUAUCACAGUAGGAUCUGACCUAGUCCUUACCAAACAGGCAUACACGAGAAUUUUCUAGUAGGAUUUUAAUCUAGAGCGGAAACCCUAACUGAAUUUUUACAUCUACCUAGGCCACUGAUUGGUAAACAGCAAAUGUUUGGCAGGGGGAAAGUGUGGAUUUCACCCCACUUUCACACAUCAAUAUUGGAAAACAAAUAUUGAACUAAAACUACCUUAAGCAGCUGUUAUAAGGCUUACAAUUUUUAAAGCAAAAAUUGUCCGCUUGAAAAGUAAAAAAUAAUGGCGGAGACUGGUGUUUGAAAAGGAAGAAACCACUUGGUUGGAAACAUGUGCCACCCCCUAAUAGGUAAUAGUUUUCACUAUCUAAGAAGUGUCCUGGCCAACAAUCCUCCAAAAUAAAAUUGGUCAUUC